GGUGAACGCUGGCGGCGGGCCUAAUACAUGCAAGUCGAGCGAACACACAAUGAGCUUUCUCCUCUGACGUUAGCGACUGACGGGUGGGUAACACGUGGAUAACCUACCUAUAUUACUUGGAGAACUUCGUGAAGCCGGAUCUGAUACCAGAUAAUAUAUUGAACCGCAUGGUUCAAUAGUGAAAGGCGGUUUUCCUGUCACUUAUAGAUGGAUCCGCGCCGCAUUAGCUAGGUGGUAAGGUAACGGCUUAACAAGGCAACGAUGCUUAGCCGACCUGAUAGGGAGAACCGCCAACAUGGGAAUGAGAACAGGUCCCGAAUCCUAAGGGAGGGAGGCGUAGGGAAUCUUGCGACAUGGGCGGAAGCCUGACGCCGCCCAGACGCGUGAGUGAUGAAGGUCUUCGGAUCGUAAAACCCUGUUAUUAGGGAAAAAAAAAUGUGAAAGUAACUCCGCACGUCUUGAAGGUAACCCAUCAGAAAGCCACCGCUAAACACGUG
Molecule: ribosomal RNA, 497 nt
Filed under: uncultured bacterium
Lineage: Bacteria
Description: partial 16S ribosomal RNA
Rfam family: Bacterial small subunit ribosomal RNA
Source: RNAcentral